This 22-nucleotide small nuclear RNA is filed under the name Arabidopsis thaliana (thale cress). RNAcentral describes it as "snRNA_06452". Lineage: Eukaryota; Viridiplantae; Streptophyta; Magnoliopsida; Brassicales; Brassicaceae. The record is from RNAcentral.
GAGAUUUCGUUUUGACAGAAAA